Oncorhynchus tshawytscha (Chinook salmon) is the source of this 1081-nucleotide long non-coding RNA. NCBI's taxonomy places the organism in Eukaryota, Metazoa, Chordata, Actinopteri, Salmoniformes, Salmonidae. The record is from Ensembl.
GUGACAGGUGACAGCUAGAGCGGUGUUUGUCAGGCCAGGAGAGAUUCCAUCUACGGUGACAGGUGACAGCUAGAGCGGUGUUUGUCAGACCAGGAGAGAUUCCAUCUACGGUGAAAGGUGACAGCUAGAGCGGUGUUUGUCAGACCAGGAGAGAUUCCAUCUACGGUGAAAGGUGACAGCUAGAGCGGUGUUUGUCAGACCAGGAGAGAUUCCAUCUACGGUGAAAGGUGACAGCUAGAGCGGUGUUUGUCAGGCCAUGAGACAACACAAAAAUCUGUCUUCUCACAAAAUUGCCUUUAGCAUCCGAACGGUUUUGCUCUGACUCCCACAAGCAUCUUGGGACUCAUCUGAAUUCGGUAGAGCUGAUCUGCCAACUACUGUCUCUCCGAACAGUUUGGACCCCUCCUGGAAAGGUGAGAUUCAAGACUCGUCUGAAGGUCCCCCGGCACCAGUUGAAAAAAUGUAUGGAAGUGUAUAUGGAGUCUGUUUCGUGCCAAAAAUAAGGGGUUAAAUGUUUUUUUUUUUUUUAUGUGUCCCAAUCUUUCUUAUAUCUCUCAGAUAUAACUUCCUUUUGAUUUUUUUAAAAUCUGUUUCAUGUAGUGAAUCUGUUGUUCAAUGCGUUUGUAUGGGUUAAUAGCCAAAUAAAAUAUUUAAUCAAAUAUGUUUUGUAUAUAUUUUUUUAGAUCAAUAAAUCAAAUGUAUUUUUAAAGCCCUUCUUACAUCAGCUGAUCUCACAAAGUGCUGUACAGAAACCCAGCCUAAAACGCCAAACAGCAAGUAAUGCAGGUGUAGAAGCAUGGUGGCUAGGAAAAACUCCCUAGAAAGGCCAGAACCUAGGAAGAAACCCAGAGAGGAAGAAACCCAGAGAGGAACCAGGCUAUGAGGGGUGGCCAGUCCUCUUCUGGCUGUGCCAGGUGGAGAUAAUAACAGAACAUGACCAAGAUGUUCAAAUGUUCAUAAUGACCAGCAUGGUCAAAUAAUAAUAAUGACAGUAGUUGUCGAGGGUGCAGCAAGUCUGCACCUCAGGAGUAAAUGUCAGUUGGCUUUUCAUAGCAGAUCAUUAAAAGUAUCUCUACCACUC